CUCUGGUGCCUGUGACGUGCGACACAAAGGCAAUUGAGGGCUUAUGUGAAUCUACACAGUCGGAUGCGAAACGAACAAUGAAAUACAAGUGUAAACGCACGUGCGGCUUCUGUACUGCAAGAGACAUACAAAGGGGUCGAUGUGAAGACAAACUUGAAUACGACACGUGUGAAGUCAUCAAGAAGAGAAAGCUCUGCCUGAACCCGGUCAAGCGGCAGCGAUGUAUGAAGACAUGUGGAAAAUGUCAGGACGUCACUACCUGCCUUCCACGACAACCAGUCACUACCUGCAGCCAGGUG
Molecule: long non-coding RNA, 299 nt
Organism: Haliotis rubra (blacklip abalone)
Lineage: Eukaryota; Metazoa; Mollusca; Gastropoda; Lepetellida; Haliotidae
Exons: 3
Source: RefSeq, a predicted model, not a curated record